This 658-nucleotide ribosomal RNA is filed under the name Hydrogenophaga electricum. RNAcentral describes it as "bacterial SSU rRNA". It matches the Rfam family "Bacterial small subunit ribosomal RNA", at positions 56 to 713 of the family's 1533-position model. The record is from RNAcentral. Lineage: Bacteria; Pseudomonadati; Pseudomonadota; Betaproteobacteria; Burkholderiales; Comamonadaceae.
UGCAGUCGACGGUAACAGGCCUUCGGGUGCUGACGAGUGGCGAACGGGUGAGUAAUGCAUCGGAACGUGCCCAGUCGUGGGGGAUAACGCAGCGAAAGCUGUGCUAAUACCGCAUACGAUCUGUGGAUGAAAGCGGGGGACCUUCGGGCCUCGCGCGAUUGGAGCGGCCGAUGUCAGAUUAGGUAGUUGGUGGGGUAAAGGCUCACCAAGCCAACGAUCUGUAGCUGGUCUGAGAGGACGACCAGCCACACUGGGACUGAGACACGGCCCAGACUCCUACGGGAGGCAGCAGUGGGGAAUUUUGGACAAUGGGCGCAAGCCUGAUCCAGCAAUGCCGCGUGCAGGAAGAAGGCCUUCGGGUUGUAAACUGCUUUUGUACGGAACGAAACGGUCCUGGUUAAUACCUGGGGCUAAUGACGGUACCGUAAGAAUAAGCACCGGCUAACUACGUGCCAGCAGCCGCGGUAAUACGUAGGGUGCGAGCGUUAAUCGGAAUUACUGGGCGUAAAGCGUGCGCAGGCGGUGCUGUAAGACAGGCGUGAAAUCCCCGGGCUCAACCUGGGAAUUGCGCUUGUGACUGCAGUGCUGGAGUACGGCAGAGGGGGAUGGAAUUCCGCGUGUAGCAGUGAAAUGCGUAGAUAUGCGGAGGAACACCGAU